Molecule: ribosomal RNA, 253 nt
Filed under: uncultured bacterium
Lineage: Bacteria
Also listed under: 1 other name
Description: partial 16S ribosomal RNA
Rfam family: Bacterial small subunit ribosomal RNA
Source: RNAcentral
UACGAAGGAUUCGAGCGUUAUCCGGAUUUAUUGGGUUUAAAGGGUGCGUAGGUGGACUAAUAAGUCAGUGGUGAAAGCCCGCAGCUUAACUGCGGAACUGCCAUUGAUACUGUUAGUCUUGAGUACAGUUGAGGUGGGCGGAAUGUGUCAUGUAGCGGUGAAAUGCUUAGAUAUGACACAGAACACCGAUUGCGAAGGCAGCUCACUAAGCUGUAACUGACACUGAGGCACGAAAGCGUGGGGAGCAAACAGG